AAGUCGAACGGUAGCACAGAGAGCUUGCUCUCGGSGUGACGAGUGGCGGACGGGUGAGUAAUGUCUGGGAAACUGCCUGAUGGAGGGGGAUAACUACUGGAAACGGUAGCUAAUACCGCAUAACGUCGCAAGACCAAAGAGGGGGACCUUCGGGCCUCUUGCCAUCAGAUGUGCCCAGAUGGGAUUAGCUAGUAGGUGGGGUAACGGCUCACCUAGGCGACGAUCCCUAGCUGGUCUGAGAGGAUGACCAGCCACACUGGAACUGAGACACGGUCCAGACUCCUACGGGAGGCAGCAGUBGGGAAUAUUGCACAAUGGGCGCAAGCUGAUGCAGCCAUGCCGCGUGUAUKAAGAAGGSCUUCGGGUUGUAAAGUACUUUCAGCGGGGAGGAAGGUGUUGUGGUUAAUAACCACAGCAAUUGACGUUACCCGCAGAAGAAGCACCGGCUAACUCCGUGCCARCAGCCGCGGUAAUACGGAGGGUGCAAGCGUUAAUCGGAAUUACUGGGCGUAAAGCGCACGCAGGCGGUCUGUCAAGUCGGAUGUGAAAUCCCCGGGCUCAACCUGGGGMCUGCAUUCGGAACUGGCAGGCUAGAGUCUUGUAGRGGGGGGUAGAUUCCCGGUGUASSG
This 629-nucleotide ribosomal RNA is filed under the name Enterobacter sp. S4-27. Its description in RNAcentral is "bacterial SSU rRNA". It matches the Rfam family "Bacterial small subunit ribosomal RNA", at positions 59 to 680 of the family's 1533-position model. The record is from RNAcentral. Lineage: Bacteria; Pseudomonadati; Pseudomonadota; Gammaproteobacteria; Enterobacterales; Enterobacteriaceae.